Molecule: ribosomal RNA, 120 nt
Filed under: uncultured bacterium
Lineage: Bacteria
Description: partial 16S ribosomal RNA
Rfam family: Bacterial small subunit ribosomal RNA
Source: RNAcentral
GAUGAACGCUGGCGGCGUGCUUAACACAUGCAAGUCGAACGGUGAAAGCGGAGCUUGCUCUGCUGGAUCAGUGGCGAACGGGUGAGUAACACGUGAGCAACCUGCCCCGGACUCUGGGAU